GUUGUUUUAAAUUUGGGGCGGCAUGGUCAUUAAUUAUUUUAUACAUGUAAAUAGAUUUUGUAUAGUUGCGUCUCUGGUCUAAAAAGAUUCCCAACCUAACAUAUUCAGCACAUCAACAGAUCGAAUACCAAAAGUAGACCUCGUUAUAACUCUCGGAGCGCGAUUCUGCAAUCUUCGAAGCUUUUCCCUAAUAUCACUUCCACAAUUGUCCCAAAGAGGGCUACAAUAAUCAAAGUACCGUUGCACCAGAAAAUUAUAUGUUAGCUUAAGUGUUUCUAGUGGUACAAAAGGCUUCAUUCUUCUAAUAAUUCCAAUUCCAUCCCCCAACUUUUGCGCAAAUAUUAUCUAUAUGUUUUUCCCAAGUGAACCUUUCAUCUAGGUCAACACCCAGGCAUGUGUAGUUUUCCGUCCUGGGGACUGGUACAUUACUAAUUAAAAUUGGGUUCUGAGAAAUUUUGAUUUUAAUAGACGAUCCAAUAUAGCUACAUAUGUUUUGUCUUUGUUGUAUGAAUUUGAAGCUUAUUUCGUAACAUCCAUUUACGGACAUUUUCAAGAGCACAGUUCAUAUUGGUGACCAUGCAGCUCGUCACCAUCUUUAGCAGAUGCAUAAAUUUCCGUGCAUCUGCAUACAUAGAAGGAGUGCAAAAUUUUAAAGAUUUAGGCAUAAGAAACAGCAACGGCCCCAAGAUCGAACCCUGCGGGAUUCCACAAACUGUUUUCUUAGUUGAUGAAAUCUGGCCAUUAACCGUACAUUGUUGCUCCCUGUUGGUUAGGCAAGAUUGAAACCAUUCCAGUUCAGUGCCGAUUAUGCCAAAAUGGUCAUGCAUUUUUUGUAGCAGUAUUUCAUGAUUUAUUGAGUCAAACGGUUUUCGAACGUCAAGAAAUACUACACAAUUCAAAUUUCCGUUAUCCAUGUUUUGCAACCACUCAUCACACAUUUCUAUCAAUGCUGAUAAUGUUGAAUGCUUUGGGCUAAAUCCGGAUUGAUAUCUAGAAAGCAAAGAGUUCUCAGAGAGGUGAUGGUACAAUUUUUAAAAAUUGGCAAUAUAGAAAUCGGCCGAUAAUUUUCGCAUUUCUUUUUAUAUCAGAUUUAUAAAUAGAGGUUACACGAGCACGUUUCCUGUCGUCAACAUAGAUGCCAGUCGCAAGUGAUAAAUUGAAUAUAACCGUUAGCGACGGAGCGAUAACUCUGAUGCUAAUUUUAGGAUUUUGGCUAGUAUUUUGUCCAGCCCAGUAGAUUUGUUAGCUUUUAGAUUGCGGAGAUUCAUGGAUACAUUUUCGAUACUAAUUUCGAAAAAGCAGAAUGGCGAAUUCGAUAUGGGACCAGGACGGCUGCAAUUGUUUGGAAAACCUUCAUCAUGAAACUUUCUGCUCGCUUCAGAUAGUAGUUUAGGGCCAAUGUUAGCGAAAUAGUCAUUAAAAGAUUCAGCAAUGACUUUUGCAUCGGAAAUAGUGUUGCUGUUUACUAUAAUUUCGUUGAUAUUGGAUUUGUUAUUCUUACCAAUAAGAGAAUUGAUCAGCCACCAGGUCUUUUUAAGGUCACUUGAGCAGUGUUGCACUUUCCAAUUAUUUUCUAAAGACCUGAAACUAUCUGGCGGACCCCUGGACCAUUUCCGGAAACAAAAACAAACACUACAGGGGCCGGUUGUUCAAAGCUGGGUUAGCUUAACCCUACGUUAACGUAAAUUUCAAAGCAAACUUCCUGACAGUU
RNAcentral lists this long non-coding RNA (1711 nucleotides) under Paramuricea clavata. The record is from RNAcentral. Lineage: Eukaryota; Metazoa; Cnidaria; Anthozoa; Malacalcyonacea; Plexauridae.